GGUGGGGGGGUGCUAUAAUGCAGUCGAACGAACUUCCGUUAAUUGAUUAUGACGUACUUGUACUGAUUGAGAUUUUAACACGAAGUGAGUGGCGAACGGGUGAGUAACACGUGGGUAACCUGCCCAGAAGUAGGGGAUAACACCUGGAAACAGAUGCUAAUACCGUAUAACAGAGAAAACCGCAUGGUUUUCUUUUAAAAGAUGGCUCUGCUAUCACUUCUGGAUGGACCCGCGGCGUAUUAGCUAGUUGGUGAGGUAAAGGCUCACCAAGGCAGUGAUACGUAGCCGACCUGAGAGGGUAAUCGGCCACAUUGGGACUGAGACACGGCCCAGACUCCUACGGGAGGCAGCAGUAGGGAAUCUUCCACAAUGGACGCAAGUCUGAUGGAGCAACGCCGCGUGAGUGAAGAAGGGUUUCGGCUCGUAAAGCUCUGUUGUUAAAGAAGAACGUGGGUAAGAGUAACUGUUUACCCAGUGACGGUAUUUAACCAGAAAGCCACGGCUAACUACGUGCCAGCAGCCGCGGUAAUACGUAGGUGGCAAGCGUUAUCCGGAUUUAUUGGGCGUAAAGCGAGCGCAGGCGGUCUUUUAAGUCUAAUGUGAAAGCCUUCGGCUCAACCGAAGAAGUGCAUUGGAAACUGGGAGACUUGAGUGCAGAAGAGGACAGUGGAACUCCAUGUGUAGCGGUGAAAUGCGUAGAUAUAUGGAAGAACACCAGUGGCGAAGGCGGCUGUCUGGUCUGCAACUGACGCUGAGGCUCGAAAGCAUGGGUAGCGAACAGGAUUAGAUACCCUGGUAGUCCAUGCCGUAAACGAUGAUUACUAAGUGUUGGAGGGUUUCCGCCCUUCAGUGCUGCAGCUAACGCAUUAAGUAAUCCGCCUGGGGAGUACGACCGCAAGGUUGAAACUCAAAAGAAUUGACGGGGGCCCGCACAAGCGGUGGAGCAUGUGGUUUAAUUCGAAGCUACGCGAAGAACCUUACCAGGUCUUGACAUCUUCUGA
This 1001-nucleotide ribosomal RNA is filed under the name Pediococcus sp. 15-4. RNAcentral's name for it is "bacterial SSU rRNA". It matches the Rfam family "Bacterial small subunit ribosomal RNA", at positions 35 to 994 of the family's 1533-position model. The record is from RNAcentral. Lineage: Bacteria; Bacillati; Bacillota; Bacilli; Lactobacillales; Lactobacillaceae.